CGGGACUAUGUCAACUUCCAGC
RNAcentral lists this microRNA (22 nucleotides) under Lingula anatina. RNAcentral's name for it is "Lan-Mir-1990-P2_3p (mature (guide))". The record is from RNAcentral. Lineage: Eukaryota; Metazoa; Brachiopoda; Lingulata; Lingulida; Lingulidae.